Long non-coding RNA from Lepisosteus oculatus (spotted gar), 1039 nucleotides. RefSeq lists it as uncharacterized. The record is from RefSeq and is a predicted model, not a curated record. NCBI's taxonomy places the organism in Eukaryota, Metazoa, Chordata, Actinopteri, Semionotiformes, Lepisosteidae.
CGAAGGCGGAUCUGAGCAAGUAGGCCGCUGGGCUGUGGCCAAUACCACACCAGGAACAGCAGAGGGCGCUGUCCGAAUGGCUGUGGCGUGUUACUGCCUGAUAACUUCAGAUUCCGCAUAUUUAUUUUGCCUUGGACGCGGUUCUUGCGUAACUCUUGAACGAAGUACCACUCAAAACAACAAAAAACGCCCGGACUGGUGUGCAGGAGUGCACUAGAGUUUGUUUCUCGACGCGGUUUCUUGUCGUUAAAUCGAAAAAAAACCAGUCCCACCCAACAGAGACCCACAGGAGUAAAAUUUAUAUUUUAACUUUUUAUUUCGACAGCAAAAUAAAAUACAAUACAAGCAAGAGUACAUAUAACAUAACAUAACAAUAUCAUCGUCAGGAGAACAUAUUACAGUACCUAUACACAUUAUGAAUAAACGUUUAAACAGAAUAAAGAUAAGAUCCAUGCUCAUGUUUUUACAUUUCGAAAAAGUCUGCAAAUACGCCUUUACAUCUAUUUAAAAAUGUUCAUAGGACAACAUAGGAGUCUUCCCAGACCCUUUCACUUGACAUAAAUAAUAACGUGCAGGAAUAAUAAUUAAGUCAAUUACAAAGGAUAUAUUCGUGUUAUUUCCAAUUCAAUUGAAGCUUAACAUGAUGUCCAUUUCUUAAAAAAAAAUCAAUAUUAGCUUCUUCUUUUAACAUACGUUUUCAAUUCAGUCCCGAAGGUUUUUACAAUAGGACACAACCAAAAUAAACGUUGAAUGGUAUCAAAAGGCACAGUUAUCAUCUAGAUUAAUUUUAAAUCUCUGCACAAGGGUCUUUCCGGCCUCAAAGUCCUCAUGCUCACCUAUAAGGCUCUGUAUGACCUGUCUGAUACUAUCAUCCUACUCCCCACCUCACAACCCUCACUCAACCCACUCUUCUGAUUCUGGUCUCCUAUCUGUCCCCCCAAAACCCAUCUACACUCGAGGGGGUGACAGGACCUUCCCCUGCUGCGAAUCUGGUGUGUUUUUUAUGGUUAUCAUUCUGUCAAGCGCUUGGAGAAGCCAC